RNAcentral lists this transfer RNA (71 nucleotides) under Candidatus Woesearchaeota archaeon. RNAcentral describes it as "tRNA-His". It matches the Rfam family "tRNA". From Rfam's summary of the family: Transfer RNA (tRNA) molecules are approximately 80 nucleotides in length. Lineage: Archaea; Nanobdellati; Candidatus Woesearchaeota. The record is from RNAcentral.
GUGGCCGUAGUUUAAUGGUAGAAUAAGCGGCUGUGGCCCGCUUGGAGUGGGUUCGAUUCCCACCGGCUGCC